This 2430-nucleotide ribosomal RNA is filed under the name Triticum aestivum (bread wheat). RNAcentral's name for it is "partial small subunit ribosomal RNA". Lineage: Eukaryota; Viridiplantae; Streptophyta; Magnoliopsida; Poales; Poaceae. The record is from RNAcentral.
AUGCUUCCCCUUUUCAGCCAAUGUCACUGCAAACGGACCACGGAACUGCAGCAGUGGAAGCUCUUCAUCAAGAAGAUAAUAGUGAAGUACAUGCUUCAACUGCAGCGUUUCCUUGCUGAUGCCAGAGCUACCAAUAUAAUCGCCCCAGACCGCACUCACAAGGAAACGCUCAUAAAAUAUUAUGGCAUAUACGAUCGUUUGUCGCCAGUCCUCCAAAAGGAUAGUGUUCCACUCUUCCUCCGCAUCUUCGAGAAGUACAGGGAGUGCUUUGUUUCUGGUUUUGUCAUCAUUCCACAAACCCUUGACUUAAUUAUUCUAGAGAAUGCCCUGCGUUGUGCUAAUCUUGUUUUGGAGGGGAAGUCACCUAAGCUCUGCGGAGUACGUGCCAACCCCAACUACAUGACCAGCUUUGGGUACUUCCCCCUCCACCAAGCUGCAGAGUCAUUCUCCGUCGAAAUGGUUGAGUUACUGUUCCGGUAUGGUGCAUCGGCCAAUCAGCGCACCUCGGGUAAUAAAAUCAUCGAGGGCCUCCUCCCACUCCAUGUUGCCAUCGAGAACACUUGCCAGCACAAGUAUCUGGAGGACAACCUAUUAGUUGACGAGAACUACAGGAAGGGGAAUUUUGGGUACAUCUACAAGCUCAUACAUCUGCUUUGCCUGCCUGAGAUGAAGAUCUUCUUGGACACCACUAGAUUGCUUGCAGCUCACACUGAUAAUGUAGUCGAUGAGCUCUGGAAGUACAUGGAGCAUGGGAAGAUUGUCCCUGCAGCUAUUCUUCUCCUUGCAGCUCAAAGGCGAUUUCGUAAGCUCAAUGGUUUUGAUAUGAUCAAGAACCGUAUUGAUGAUUCUAUAUUCUCCCUGAUAAGGGAGGGGUGUGGAUUGCAAAUUGGUAAAAAUACCAAGGCAGCAAAGCAGCGGAAGGAGAAGGAAGUACGUUUCUAUAAUGCGUUGUUCCUUGUUAGGAUAAUUCUGAAAGCUGGUGAAGCUCUUGAUGCACAUAUUCAAACUCAUUCAGAGGCCACGACGAAGAAACCACGGGUUAGGCACCUGUAUGCAAGAGAUCAGUUUUUCCCGGCGUUCGACGAUGAUGACCAGUCCAUACACGCCGCCGUCGCGGUUCGCCUACAUGGCCGAGAACAUCUGCCGGACUGCCGGUACAAACCUAGGUACAGAUCACCGGCCUCCUCUUCCUGGACGUCAGCGACCUCCAGGCUCCAGUGCCAUGCCGAGGUCCUUGAUGUACCGCACGGCGCCCCGGACAUGAAGUCGCCGCUCACCCGAGCCGCCUCCUCCGCGCUCGAGCCCAACGGCGCUGGCAAAGACCAGACCAAGGACUCGCUAAGGGCUCGAGGCCAACCACCACGCCUGCCACCGCAAUUUUGCUGCUCUGGCCGCUGCCGGCGGGCCCAUGCAGAUAGGUCCUCCGAGCCAGAGGACGGCCUCUACAUGCUUCAACUGCAGCGUUUCCUUGCUGAUGCCAGAGCUACCAAUAUAAUCGCCCUAGACCGCACUCCCAAGGAAACGCUCAUAAAAUAUUAUGGCAUAUACGAUCGUUUGUCGCCAGUCCUCCAAAAGGAUAGUGUUCCACUCUUCCUCCGCAUCUUCGAGAAGUACAGGGAGUGCUUUGUUUCUGGUUUUGUCAUCAUUCCACAAACCCUUGACUUAAUUAUUCUAGAGAAUGCCCUGCGUUGUGCUAAUCUUGUUUUGGAGGGGAAGUCACCUAAGCUCUGCGGAGUACGUGCCAACCCCAACUACAUGACCAGCUUUGGGUACUUCCCCCUCCACCAAGCUGCAGAGUCAUUCUCCGUCGAAAUGGUUGAGUUACUGUUCCGGUAUGGUGCAUCGGCCAAUCAGCGCACCUCGGGUAAUAAAAUCAUCGAGGGCCUCCUCCCACUCCAUGUUGCCAUCGAGAACACUUGCCAGCAUAAGUAUCUGGAGGACAACCUAUUAGUUGACGAGAACUACAGGAAGGGGAAUUUUGGGUACAUCUACAAGCUCAUACAUCUGCUUUGCCUGCCUGAGAUGAAGAUCUUCUUGGACACCACUAGAUUGCUUGCAGCUCACACUGAUAAUGUAGUCGAUGAGCUCUGGAAGUACAUGGAGCAUGGGAAGAUUGUCCCUGCAGCUAUUCUUCUCCUUGCAGCUCAAAGGCGAUUUCGUAAGCUCAAUGGUUUUGAUAUGAUCAAGAACCGUAUUGAUGAUUCUAUAUUCUCCCUGAUAAGGGAGGGGUGUGGAUUGCAAAUUGGUAAAAAUACCAAGGCAGCAAAGCAGCGGAAGGAGAAGGAAGUACGUUUCUAUAAUGCGUUCUUCCUUGUUAGGAUAAUUCUGAAAGCUGGUGAAGCUCUUGAUGCAUAUAUUCAAACUCAUUCAGAGGUACCAUCUUUUCAUUUGAUGCAUACAUUUGUUUUUUCUUGUUUUACCGAAUCUUAA